GGCGGCGUGCCUAAUACAUGCAAGUCGAGCGAACUGAUUAGAAGCUUGCUUCUAUGACGUUAGCGGCGGACGGGUGAGUAACACGUGGGCAACCUGCCUGUAAGACUGGGAUAACUUCGGGAAACCGAAGCUAAUACCGGAUAGGAUCUUCUCCUUCAUGGGAGAUGAUUGAAAGAUGGUUUCGGCUAUCACUUACAGAUGGGCCCGCGGUGCAUUAGCUAGUUGGUGAGGUAACGGCUCACCAAGGCAACGAUGCAUAGCCGACCUGAGAGGGUGAUCGGCCACACUGGGACUGAGACACGGCCCAGACUCCUACGGGAGGCAGCAGUAGGGAAUCUUCCGCAAUGGACGAAAGUCUGACGGAGCAACGCCGCGUGAGUGAUGAAGGCUUUCGGGUCGUAAAACUCUGUUGUUAGGGAAGAACAAGUACAAGAGUAACUGCUCGUACCUUGACGGUACCUAACCAGAAAGCCACGGCUAACUACGUGCCAGCAGCCGCGGUAAUACGUAGGUGGCAAGCGUUAUCCGGAAUUAUUGGGCGUAAAGCGCGCGCAGGCGGUUUCUUAAGUCUGAUGUGAAAGCCCACGGCUCAACCGUGGAGGGUCAUUGGAAACUGGGGAACUUGAGUGCAGAAGAGAAAAGCGGAAUUCCACGUGUAGCGGUGAAAUGCGUAGAGAUGUGGAGGAACACCAGUGGCGAAGGCGGCUUUUUGGUCUGUAACUGACGCUGAGGCGCGAAAGCGUGGGGAGCAAACAGGAUUAGAUA
RNAcentral lists this ribosomal RNA (765 nucleotides) under Priestia megaterium. RNAcentral describes it as "bacterial SSU rRNA". It matches the Rfam family "Bacterial small subunit ribosomal RNA", at positions 38 to 784 of the family's 1533-position model. Lineage: Bacteria; Bacillati; Bacillota; Bacilli; Caryophanales; Bacillaceae. The record is from RNAcentral.